AUGUGCAAAAUGAAGCUCUGUGGUAUCC
This 28-nucleotide non-coding RNA is filed under the name Cricetulus griseus (Chinese hamster). Lineage: Eukaryota; Metazoa; Chordata; Mammalia; Rodentia; Cricetidae. The record is from RNAcentral.